Non-coding RNA from Lactuca sativa (garden lettuce), 1999 nucleotides. The record is from RefSeq and is a predicted model, not a curated record. NCBI's taxonomy places the organism in Eukaryota, Viridiplantae, Streptophyta, Magnoliopsida, Asterales, Asteraceae.
CUAUUGAUAUCUCUCUUUCUUUACUCAUCUUCUUUCUUCUCCGUAACAUCUUCCUCUGUAGCUCUUUGCUUCUUUCUCUCCUCCCAAAAUAUCUUCCCUCCGCUUGCUCCGACGUUUCUUCUUCUUCUGAGAAUCAUCAACCUCCGCAAAUUAAACACAUCGGGCAAAUAAUAAGUAACAAAAAAAGAGGGACGAACCCUAAAGGGGUCGUCUUUUUCAAUGUUGAGAACGACAGCUUGGGAUACACACACAAAUACAAGAAGUUUAUGGCGCUUUAAUUUCGUUUAUGUGGGUUGGGCUGCCAUUGAUGAGGCUAACCGACAGGUUGUGCAAGAGGUUGCUCCCAGUUCAUAAGUAAUGGCCAUGAAAUCCGGGAAGAAAGUGGGAAUGGUCACAACUGUUCUUGGGUCUCAUGGGGUUGGGCUAAUUACGCUUCAGGAUGGUUUCAAAUGGUCAGCGAAUUUAGUGAUCAAAGGAGAAAAAGAAGAUGUGAGGGUUGUCAAUGAAAGAUUUCCAUUAUCUCUCCGCUUGCUCCGACGUUUCUUCUUCUAUGUAUAUAAGAACCCGACGGACCAUCAUAUGUGAUUCAAUCGGCGUUGAGGUUGCUUCUGGUUCCAUUUUUGUUUUUAUUGGUCACUCCAGUUUGCUUUCUAAGGGCGUUGGUCUUGGUGGUGAUCGACGAGUAGGGCUCUUUACCAGAACCGCCGUCAUUGACUUCAUUAUAGUAUUGAGUUACAAUUUUGUUAGUUGUGCAGGUAUUAGAAGGAGCUGGAAGGAAUAUCAACAGUGUUGCUGCCACCAGUCCCUUCUAACAUGUGUAUUUCAUGUUUAUUUUCCAGAUCCUUCCACACUCUGAAAUAUUCGGCUGCCCUCUUUUGCUCUAACUUUGCUCAUCGUUCUCCACAUGAGUCGAUUAAUCGAGAAGACCUCCACCACCCAUCUUCGUUCCACAUUUGGGGAUUUGAUCUCGAUUUACUGUUACGGCUCCUAUAUGCUUUCUACCUAAUUACCUUCUCGGUCGAUGAGUUUCGAAAGGGGUGGAUUGGGUCAUAAUUUUUCUCCAUAAACGUCUUCAUGAUUUCGUUUGUUCACUACCCACUGUUACCAGAAAUUGGGAGGAAAGGCGAAAGACAAAUAGAAAGAUUGAGGGUUACACACGUACGAUGAGAGUUUGAAAGGGUAGAGACGAGCUUUUCUUUUCCCCAAAGAAAUUGUAAGAAUUCUUUGCUUCAUCCAAUAUUUCUUCUGUAUCGUCAUCAAUAUUUCUUUUUGUGAUUAGUUGAUCUUUCUUGGUUUUUCUUCUCAAGCUAAUAUGAAUGAUAUCGAUGUAUUUUAUCUAUUGAUUUAAAUUUUUCAAAAGUCCUUGUUGUUGGUUGUUCUCAUGGUUCAUGUUUCUUGAAAGAGUUGACUUCUAAAAAAACCAGGGUGCCUUAAUACGUCGAUAGCUUUUACAUAAAUCCUAUUAUCCAUCUCUACGUUUUUUCCUUCCGCUCCAGUUUAGCUCCAGCUCUGGUGACCGCCAUAGAAGAAAUUACCACCGCCUUCUCCUUCUCAGGUAUUGAAUCAAUUUCCUAUAUAUCAUGUUUUGAUUUUUAAUUAAUGUAAAAUUCGUAUUAGUACCCCAUUGGCAACCACAUUUGAAUUAAAAGAAAACAAAUCUUUUAAAACCCACAACCGGUUGCUCCUCCACUAAACCUUAGUUGGCAUUUCUUUUCUUUUUUUUUAUGUUCUAUCUAAUUCAAUUCUUAUUGGUAUAUAAUUUGAAUAAAUAGUGUACAGAAAACAAUGAUAAUCAUAUCAAGCCAAUACGAAAUUAACCAAACCAACAUCAACUUCAAUAAAAUAUAAACCAUUUAUUCUGGAAUUGUAAUAUUCAUCGUUAUGAAUCCUUGAAGAAUUUAUAUUGGUUUUUAUUAAUGACCAUUUACCUGUUAUCACAAUUUCCUUAUUCUUGUAUGUUGGUGUGGUUUUUGAAUUCUAGAAACUGUUUGGUGUGGUU